UUUGUGGAGAGUUUGAUCCUGGCUCAGGACGAACGCUGGCGGCGUGCUUAACACAUGCAAGUCGAACGGAAAGG
RNAcentral lists this ribosomal RNA (74 nucleotides) under Corynebacterium striatum. RNAcentral describes it as "partial 16S ribosomal RNA". It matches the Rfam family "Bacterial small subunit ribosomal RNA", at positions 1 to 74 of the family's 1533-position model. Lineage: Bacteria; Bacillati; Actinomycetota; Actinomycetes; Mycobacteriales; Corynebacteriaceae. The record is from RNAcentral. RNAcentral also lists the same sequence under 2 other names.